GGGGGGGGGAACCAUAUGGGUGCCCCCGGCGACCAUAUGGGUGCUGUGGGGGCCUAUGGGUCACCGUGGGGCCCUAUGGGGCACUGUGGGGCCCUAUGGGUGCUAUGGGGACCCUAUGGGGUCCCUAUGGGGUCUCUAUGGGUGCUAUGGGUUCCUAUGGGUGCUAUGGGGACACUAUGGGGUCCCUAUGGGGUCUCCAUGGGUGCUAUGCAGUCCCUAUGGGUGCUAUGGGGCCCUACGGGUGCUAUGGGGCCCUAUGGGUUCCUAUGGGUGCAAUGGAGCCCUAUGGGUGCUAUGGAUCCCUAUGGGUGCUAUGGGGCCCUAUGGGUUCCUAUGGGUGCAAUGGAGCCCUAUGGGUGCUAUGGAGUCCCUAUGGGUGCUAUGGGGCCCUAUGGGUUCCUAUGGGUGCAAUGGAGCCCUAUGGGUGCUAUGGAGUCCCUAUGGGUGCUAUGGGGCCCUAUGGGUCCCCAUGGGUGCAAUGGAGCCCUAUGGGUGCUAUGGGGCCCUAUGGGUUCCUAUGGGUGCUAUGGGUUCCUGUGGGUGCUAUGGGGUCCCUAUGGGUGCAAUGGGGCCCUAUGGGUGCUAUGGGGUCCCUAUGGGUGCUAUGGGGCCCUAUGGGUGCUAUGGGGCCCUAUGGAUGCUAUGCAGUCCCUAUGUGUGCUAUGGAGCCCUAUGGGUGCUGUGGGGCCUUAUGAGUUCCUAUGGGUGCUAUGGGGCCUUAUGGGUGCUAUGGGGCCCUAUGGGUUCCUAUGGGUGCUAUGUGGCCCUAUGAGUUCCUAUGGGUGCUAUGGGGCCCUAUGGGUGCUAUGCGGCCCUAUGGGUUCCUAUGGGUGCUAUGGGGUCCCUAUGGGUGCUAUGGGGCCCUAUGGGUGCUAUGGGGUCCCUAUGGGUGCUAUGGGGCCCUAUGGGUGCUAUGGGGCCCUAUGGGUGCUAUGGGGUCCCUAUGGUCCCUAUGGGUGCAAUGGGGCCCUAUGGGUGCUAUGGGGUCCCUAUGGGUGCAAUGGGGCCCUAUGGGUGCUAUGGGGCCCUAUGGGUCUCUAUGGGUGCUAUGGGUCCCUGUGGGUGCUCUGAGCUCUGUGAGUUGGGGGGGUGGGGGGGGGGGUCAGUGGGUGCCGCCCCCCCUCUGCGUCCCCAAUCCGCGCUGGCAGUGCCGCGCAAUUACCCAAAUGGCUUUAAUUGCACCCAUAAUCCCCCACCCCCCCCCACCCCCAACCCCACGGGGACACGGGG
RNAcentral lists this long non-coding RNA (1230 nucleotides) under Gallus gallus (chicken). RNAcentral's name for it is "lncRNA (ENSGALG00010003936.1)". Lineage: Eukaryota; Metazoa; Chordata; Aves; Galliformes; Phasianidae. The record is from RNAcentral.